ACGAGGAGGGAAGGUAAUGCGAAGCAUUUCUAUUAAUACUUCCCGACGGCUUGCCGGCGAGCCGAAGGGGAGGGGGCAUUACAUUGG
RNAcentral lists this small RNA (87 nucleotides) under Lachnospiraceae bacterium A2. RNAcentral describes it as "GA-cis RNA". It matches the Rfam family "GA-cis RNA". Lineage: Bacteria; Bacillati; Bacillota; Clostridia; Lachnospirales; Lachnospiraceae. The record is from Rfam by way of RNAcentral.